RNAcentral lists this transfer RNA (79 nucleotides) under Madurella mycetomatis. It matches the Rfam family "tRNA". Rfam says of the family: Transfer RNA (tRNA) molecules are approximately 80 nucleotides in length. Their secondary structure includes four short double-helical elements and three loops (D, anti-codon, and T loops). The record is from Rfam by way of RNAcentral. Lineage: Eukaryota; Fungi; Ascomycota; Sordariomycetes; Sordariales.
GCCCGCAUGGCUCAGUGGUAGAGCGUGUCACUAGUAUCAUGCUAUGACAAGGUCGUCAGUUCGAUUCUGGCUGUGGGCA